UGAGGAAUCUUGCGCAAUGGGGGAAACCCUGACGCAGCAACGCCGCGUGAGUGAGGAAGGCCUUCGGGUCGUAAAGCUCUGUCGGGUGGAAAGAAACGCAUAGGUGCUAAUACCAUCUGUGCUUGACGGUACCGCCAAAGGAAGCACCGGCUAACUCCGUGCCAGCAGCCGCGGUAAUACGGGGGGUGCAAGCGUUGUUCGGAAUCAUUGGGCGUAAAGAGCGUGUAGGCGGCUGGAUAAGUCAGAUGUGAAAGCCCUGGGCUCAACCCAGGAAGUGCAUUUGAUACUGUCCUGCUAGAGUAAGGAAGAGGGAAGUGGAAUUCCUGGUGUAGAGGUGAAAUUCGUAGAUAUCAGGAGGAACACCGGUGGCGAAGGCGACUUCCUGGUCCUAUACUGACGCUGAGACGCGAGAGCGUGGGGAGCAAACAG
This 429-nucleotide ribosomal RNA is filed under the name uncultured bacterium. RNAcentral's name for it is "bacterial SSU rRNA". It matches the Rfam family "Bacterial small subunit ribosomal RNA", at positions 355 to 775 of the family's 1533-position model. The record is from RNAcentral.